Molecule: long non-coding RNA, 885 nt
Filed under: Equus asinus (donkey)
Lineage: Eukaryota; Metazoa; Chordata; Mammalia; Perissodactyla; Equidae
Description: lncRNA (ENSEASG00005038483.1)
Source: RNAcentral
GAUACAUCCAGGCGACAAAGGCCAGGGCUCCUGUUACUAUAAGAACUCCUGCAAGAGUGAAUGUGAAUUGUGGCGCUCCCAGCUAUUCUGCUCCUGUUUCCAUCAGCCGCUUCCCUGAGGGGCUCAAGAGGCUGUGAUAAAAGCCAAAGUACCAAGGCAAAGAACAAAUGUCACAAGGUACUUUGCUAGAACCUGUGAUGUGCCUGGUACUGGGCUAGGUGCUGAGGAUAUGACCAUGUGGAGAGAAAACAAGUCCCUAAUGUCUUGGAGUCCAAGCAAAGGAGAGAUACUACACAUGUAUACAAACAAGACAAAAACAUAUUUAGAGCUGGGCUAACCACAAACCAUCACAGGAAACCCACACAGGACAAGAACUCUACUAGAACCAAGGAUUGGUCCGUCUGCUGUGUAUGAAGACAGUAAAAUGACAUAAUUUAAAUAGUGCCGUAGUAGUAGUGAAGUAAUUGCAUCCAUGAGGGAAAGGCCAAGACCAUCACUGAAGCACUGCCUGCUGGAUUCUUUAUAAAAGUAUGGAGAAGAAGACAGAUAUUAAAAUCGUAUAAUAACAAUUAUGAUAUCAUACUUACCACCUACUGUGCAUUAUGCUAAGCAUUUUAUCUUACUUUUAAUCCUCACAACAACCCUGCGUGGAGGAUGAGAUGUGGGAGACUAGCAACAAAAAGCCCACGUUCAAAACAGCCUUCAGCUUGUGGUCAUACACAAACUCCCAAGUCUCCGCAGUCACCACCAGGCAAGUCAUGCUGAGCAUCUCAGAAAAUAGAGGCACAUUCAUUACACACACAGCAGAAACCCAGCCUGCCUCAUGGGCUCAGCCCUGUUUUUGACUUUCUUCCUGGGAACUUUCCUCAGAAACAGCUUUGGAUG